RNAcentral lists this ribosomal RNA (479 nucleotides) under uncultured bacterium. Its description in RNAcentral is "bacterial SSU rRNA". It matches the Rfam family "Bacterial small subunit ribosomal RNA", at positions 1 to 476 of the family's 1533-position model. The record is from RNAcentral.
AUUAUAGUUUGAUCAUGGCUCAGAUUGAACGCUGGCGGCAGGCCUAACAACAUGCAAGUCGAGCGGUAGAGAGAAGCUUGCUUCUCUUGAGAGCGGCGGACGGGUGAGUAAUGCCUAGGAAUCUGCCUGGUAGUGGGGGAUAACGUUUCGGAAACGGACGCUAAUACCGCAUACGUCCUACGGGAGAAAGCAGGGGACCUUCGGGCCUUGGCGCUAUCAGAUGAGCCUAGGUCGGAUUAGCUAGUUGGUGAGGUAAUGGCUCACCAAGGCGACGAUCCGUAACUGGUCUGAGAGGAUGAUCAGUCACACUGGAACUGAGACACGGUCCAGACUCCUACGGGAGGCAGCAGUGGGGAAUAUUGGACAAUGGGCGAAAGCCUGAUCCAGCCAUGCCGCGUGUGUGAAGAAGGUCUUCGGAUUGUAAGCACCUUUAAGUUGGGAGGAAGGGCAGUUACCUAAUACGUAAUUGUUUUGACGUU